Molecule: ribosomal RNA, 432 nt
Filed under: uncultured bacterium
Lineage: Bacteria
Description: partial 16S ribosomal RNA
Rfam family: Bacterial small subunit ribosomal RNA
Source: RNAcentral
GAUGAACGCUGGCGGUAUGCUUAACACAUGCAAGUCGAACGGUACCUUCGGGUAUAGUGGCGGACGGGUGAGUAACGCGUGAGAAUCUAUCUUCAGGUCGGGGACAACAGUUAGAAAUGACUGCUAAUACCGGAUGUGCCGAAAGGUAAAAGAUUUACUGCCUGAAAAAGAGCUCGCGUCAGAUUAGCUAGUAGGUGGUGUAAGAGACUACCUAGGCUUCGAUCUGUAGCUGGUCUGAGAGGACGAUCAGCCACACUGGAACUGAGACACGGUCCAGACUCCUACGGGAGGCAGCAGUGGGGAAUUUUCCGCAAUGGGCGAAAGCCUGACGGAGCAAUACCGCGUGAGGGACGAAGGCUCUUGGGUCGUAAACCUCUUUUCUCAAGGAAGAUUCAGACGGUACUUGAGGAAUAAGCAUCGGCUAACUCUGUG